This is an RNA transcript of Oryza brachyantha (malo sina), 2371 nucleotides long. It is a transcript of the gene named protein ALP1-like, with no coding region annotated. The record is from RefSeq and is a predicted model, not a curated record. NCBI's taxonomy places the organism in Eukaryota, Viridiplantae, Streptophyta, Magnoliopsida, Poales, Poaceae. The transcript is spliced from 8 exons.
AAACCAUCUAAGGCCUUGUUCGGUUGGAUCAGGAAUGACUGGGAUUGGGCUGAAACCCCUGUGGAUCAUCCCGGUGUGAGAAAAAUUCCAGCCCAUAGAAAAAAGCCCGUUCGGUUCAGCCCAGGCGGGAUACUAACCAAGCCCAUCCCGGCGCAUGCCCCUCGUUUUGAGCCGGGAAAAAACAUCGACCGCUGAGGUGUGGAACAAAUCCUCGUGGAGGCGCAGGAGAAGAUGGCUACGGCGGCGCGCGCGACGUAGAGCCGACGGCGACGGCGACGGUGACGGCGACGGCGACGGCGACGGGACAAGGUCCGCCUCUCCGGUGGUCAUCUUCUCCGUCGGCCACCUUCUCGCCUAUACAUUGUCCCUGUACCGGUUAGAGUUGGAGAAGACCAACCCCCACAAUCUUGGAGCCCUGUACCAUCUCCAGCAUUUUGCAAUGAUUACAACAAGAGAUCAUGUUAGAAAGAGGAGGGAAGAGGGGGACGAUGAUAUGAUGUUGUUUAUUUUCCCUGCACUACAUCUGUUGAGUUCUAGAGGAGGAAAGGAAAAGAAGCGUCGUCAUACUUCUAAGCUAACAGGGGAGGAACAUGUUCAUGAGCUACUUGAAGGACAUGUCAAGAACUGUCGGACAACAUUUAGGAUGGAACCAAAAAUAUUUAAAGCCCUAGCCAAUUACCUUAGAACUGAAAGAUUGGUUCGUGAUACUAGGAUUAAGGUUGAAGAGAAGCUAGCAUUCUUCUUAUACAUGCUUAGUCACAAUGCUUCAUAUGAGGAUCUUCAAGUAGAAUUUGGGCACAGUAGUGAUACCUUUCACCGUCACAUGAAACAUUUCUUCAACUUGGUUAUCCCUACACUAUCCAAGCGACUUAUGAAGCCUCCUGAUCCUAAUCAAGUUCAUUUGAAAAUUGAAAGAGAUCCUCGAUUUUAUCCUUACUUCAAGAAUUGUCUUGGUGCAAUUGAUGGCACCCAUGUACCCAUAUCCAUAUCAUCUGAAAAGGCUGCUCCAUUUAGAAAUAGGAAAGGGACUCUUAGCCAAAAUGUGAUGAUAGCAUGCGAUUUUGAUAUGAGUAUCACCUUCAUAUCUAGUGGAUGGGAGGGGUCAGCUACAGAUGCUAGAGUUCUUAGCUCCGCAAUGAACAAUGGUUUCAAACUACCUCCAGGGAAAUUCUACUUGGUUGAUGGUGGAUAUGCCAAUACUGCUUCUUUUCUUGCACCAUAUCAAAGAGUUAGGUACCAUCUGAAGGAGUUUGGGAGGGGUCAUCAUAGACCUCAAAACUACAAGGAAUUAUUUAAUCAUCGCCAUGCGGUAUUAAGGAAUCAUGUUGAAAGGACUGCAGAUGCAAGACUGCAACCAAUUGAAGAAAAUGUUGCGCGUGUUGAAAGGAGUACACAAACGGUACAAAGAAGAGUUAUUGCUACUAUAGGAAACAAGGAAGAAAAAGAACUAAAAAGGCAAAAAAAAAAAGUAUCGGUGUAGAAGCUCUUAUAGAAAGGUAUCUUGAUAUGAGAACCAAGCAAGUUGAAGAUGAAGCUGCACAGUUAGCAAGAGAAAGGGAAGUUUGUGAUUUUUCAAUAAAGAGGUGCAUAGCUAUUCUCAACUCAAUGAAAGUAACAAAAGAGGAAAAGGCCAAAGCAUACACUGUCUUCAAGAAUGCAGAUAAUAGCGAAAUUUUUGUGAGUGCAUGCGAUGAGGAUUUAGAGUCUGCUUUGAUUUGGUUAAGAAAUGAAAUGGCCUAGCAGCAUGGAUGCCUGCUUCCUUUAACUGAAGAAUAAUUCAUAAAUUGCAGAACCGGAUCAAAAUAUGGAUCAGAAAAGUUUUGUAGGUUGAUUUGUGAGUUGUGGUAUGGAUUCUUUUCAGCAUGCUUUUCAAAAAAGGAACUAUGCAAGAUGCCAGUUUUGUGCAGCAGCAACAAAUGUCGAUCUCAAUACUCAUUGCUUCCAAUUUUCAGUAGAAUCUGGACCCUAUUUUUGUUGAUUAGCAAACUUCUGUUGUUCGGUUGUUUAGUAGCAACCAAAAGUUUAUCAAUUGUUCUGGAUACUUUAUACAGAAGUUUUGUCUGAUGGAUCAAUGAACAGAAGCAAAUUAGUUCUGUAUAAUUGUUGCGUUGAUACUUUUAUCAAUAGUUGAUUAGUAGCAAAUGAUUUUUUGAUAGCAAACGAUUAAUAGUUGGUUUGAACCGAACGCAUGGAUUGAAGAGGGAUUAUAGAGGAACCCAGGGAUUUAUCCCCCACUGGGUUUGGGUGACAUGGGAGGGAUUCACUCAAUCCCUCCCAGGAUAAAUUCCUGCUAGGGAUCAAUUCCCAGCUAACCGAACAAGCCCUAAAUGUGCCAGGGGUGGAUCGUAGAAGCCAGUGUUAAAUCAGCCAU